Long non-coding RNA from Eriocheir sinensis (Chinese mitten crab), 6770 nucleotides. RefSeq lists it as uncharacterized. The transcript is spliced from 2 exons. The record is from RefSeq and is a predicted model, not a curated record. Lineage: Eukaryota; Metazoa; Arthropoda; Malacostraca; Decapoda; Varunidae.
GACAGGAACGAAAAUAAUGAUGGUGUUUAUCUUGAUUUUAGUAAAGCAUUUGACAAAGUGCCUCACCAAAGACUUCUUACUAAAAUAAAGGUCCAUGGGAUAGAAAGUAAAGUGGAUUGAAGCAUGGCCUAGUGACAGGAAGCAAGCAGAGCAUUCAGAAAUAUGGGGAUAAAUCAAAAUGGGCUGAGUUAGUUCUGGCAUCCUGCAGCAAUCAGUUCUGGGUCCAUUCCUGUUUAUCAUAAUGAUCUUGACUGCGUUAUAAUCAGCAACAUAAAAGCAAGUUUGAUGAUGACACAAAAAUAGGAAGACAUCAUUUCAGACAACAAUGGUGAGGUGCUACAGGAGAUGCAAAUGUCCUGUAUGAGUGGAAUGACAAAUGGAUGAUGCAGUUUAAUAUUGACAGUUGCAGUGUCCUAAGUGUGUGAGAAAAUAAUUCCCGAAGUACUUACACAUUAAACAAUACCCCUCCUUCCCCCCCACCCCCUCAAAGACCACUCCAGCUGUGAUAGGGAUUUGGGUGUGCAUGUGAGCUCUGAACUUCAGCCCAGAAAUCACUGUACAGGAGAACCUCAUUUAUCCGGCACGAAGAGGAAAAGCUCAUGCUGAACAACCCGUUUUGCCAUUAUUUUGAGACUUCUAUAGAAUUGUAAAAACUCCUAUUGUGUUGCCUUCAGCUUCAAUCCUCUGUUUUUAAUUUGUUACUAUCAAGUGAGUUUCAUAGUUGUUAGGGUGAUGCAACACAAGGUUAUAUUAUGAGGUUUAUUCACAUUAUGUUGGUAUAUAAUGGUAGCGAGCUUACUGAAGUUAAGCAACAAUAUUAUUUACAAUCCAUCAUUCUGUUGGUAAUGGUUACAAGCUUACUGAAGUUAAGCAACAAUAUUAUUUACAAUCCAUCAUUCUGUUGGUAAUGGUUACAAGCUUACUGAAGUUAAGCAACAAUAUUAUUUACAAUCCAUCAUUCUGUUGGUAAUGGUUACAAGCUUACUGAAGUUAAGCAACAAUAUUAUUUACAAUCCAUCAUUCUGUUGGUAAUGGUUACAAGCUUACUGAAGUUAAUUAACAAUAUUAUUUACAAUUCAUCAUUCUGUUGGUAAUGGUUACAAGCUUACUGAAGUUAAUUAACAAUAUUAUUUACAAUCCAUCAUUCUGUUGGUAAUGGUAGCGAGCUGACUGAAGUUAAUUAACAAUAUUAUUUACAAUCCAUCAUUCUGUUGGUAAUGGUAGCGAGCUGACUGAAGUUAAUUAACAAUAUUAUUUACAAUUCAUCAUUCUGUUGGUAAUGGUAGCGAGCUGACUGAAGUUAAUUAACAAUAUUAUUUACAAUCCAUCAUUCUGUUGGUAAUGGUAGCGAGCUGACUGAAGUUAAUUAACAAUAUUAUUUACAAUUCAUCAUUCUGUUGGUAAUGGUAGCGAGCUGACUGAAGUUAAUUAACAAUAUUAUUUACAAUCCAUCAUUCUGUUGGUAAUGGUUACAAGCUGACUGAAGUUAAUUAACAAUAUUAUUUACAAUUCAUCAUUCUGUUGGUAAUGGUUACAAGCUGACUGAAGUUAAUUAACAAUAUUAUUUACAAUCCAUCAUUCUGUUGGUAAUGGUUACAAGCUUACUGAAGUUAAUUAACAAUAUUAUUUACAAUCCAUCAUUCUGUUGGUAAUGGUAGCGAGCUGACUGAAGUUAAUUAACAAUAUUAUUUACAAUCCAUCAUUCUGUUGGUAAUGGUUACAAGCUUACUGAAGUUAAUUAACAAUAUUAUUUACAAUCCAUCAUUCUGUUGGUAAUGGUAGCGAGCUGACUGAAGUUAAUUAACAAUAUUAUUUACAAUCCAUCAUUCUGUUGGUAAUGGUUACAAGCUGACUGAAGUUAAUUAACAAUAUUAUUUACAAUUCAUCAUUCUGUUGGUAAUGGUAGCGAGCUGACUGAAGUUAAUUAACAAUAUUAUUUACAAUCCAUCAUUCUGUUGGUAAUGGUUACAAGCUGACUGAAGUUAAUUAACAAUAUUAUUUACAAUUCAUCAUUCUGUUGGUAAUGGUUACAAGCUGACUGAAGUUAAUUAACAAUAUUAUUUACAAUCCAUCAUUCUGUUGGUAAUGGUUACAAGCUUACUGAAGUUAAUUAACAAUAUUAUUUACAAUCCAUCAUUCUGUUGGUAAUGGUAGCGAGCUGACUGAAGUUAAUUAACAAUAUUAUUUACAAUCCAUCAUUCUGUUGGUAAUGGUUACAAGCUUACUGAAGUUAAUUAACAAUAUUAUUUACAAUCCAUCAUUCUGUUGGUAAUGGUAGCGAGCUGACUGAAGUUAAUUAACAAUAUUAUUUACAAUCCAUCAUUCUGUUGGUAAUGGUUACAAGCUGACUGAAGUUAAUUAACAAUAUUAUUUACAAUUCAUCAUUCUGUUGGUAAUGGUUACAAGCUGACUGAAGUUAAUUAACAAUAUUAUUUACAAUUCAUCAUUCUGUUGGUAAUGGUUACAAGCUUACUGAAGUUAAUUAACAAUAGUAUUUACAAUUCAUCAUUCUGUUGGUAAUGGUAGCGAGCUUACUGAAGUUAAUUAACAAUAUUAUUUACAAUUCAUCAUUCUGUUGGUAAUGGUUACAAGCUUACUGAAGUUAAUUAACAAUAGUAUUUACAAUUCAUCAUUCUGUUGGUAAUGGUAGCGAGCUGACUGAAGUUAAGCAACAAUAUUAUUUACAAUUCAUCAUUCUGUUGGUAAUGGUAGCGAGCUUACUGAAGUUAAGCAACAAUAUUAUUUACAAUUCAUCAUUCUGUUGGUAAUGGUAGUGAGCUGACUGAAGUUAAGCAACAAUAUUAUUUACAAUUCAUCAUUCUGUUGGUCAUGGUAGCGAGCUGACUGAAGUUAAGUAACAAGUCUAAUUAAUAAUUAUCACUCAUCACUCCUAUUCACCUUAAAGGGCUCACUCAUCUCUUCAGACUAUUACAACUACAUGGUAGAUAUGGUACACUGGCCAUAGCUUAAACACCUAACCGUUGCUAAAUAACAAGCUACCCUAAUCAGGGUUCAAUGAUACAUGAUUAUUACUGAAAAAUGUUUCCUACCACCAAUAUGUGUUCACAGGGAUGAUCAUGGAAGCAAGGUAGUCAUGGGGGUUCAGGACACCAAGGAGGUGGUCAUGAGUCCCCACAAAUACUGGACUAUACAAAUGACACAAAAAAAAUUUAUCCUUUUCUAUUACUGAGUUAAUCAUGGGAUGAGACAUUCGUGCAGGUCUGAGAUACCAGAGGGUGAUCAUGGAUCGGCACAACAAAGGGGAACUUUACAUAUUAAUACACAACAAGGGGGUAACCGUCCAGUCAGUAGGGAACCUGCGUGAGGAGAGGCGAGGGCUCGACUGAGUUAACCGUUAUAGGUAUAAUAAUAACAUUGUAACACACUAAAUAAUCACUGUCCGUUGGAGUUAAUUUCACACGUACCUGCGUGAGGAGAGGCGAGGGCUCGACUGAUAGGCGGCUCUCAACGCGCUCCCUACUUGACUCCCCCCCCUCCCUUUGGCGUGGCUGCCGGUUAAACUAGCAUACCGAACAGUGGUUGUAGUUACAGAUACUUGGCCUGUUCCGCAAACUCAGGAGUUUAGAGACAGCUGUUUCGCUCUCCCACGUGACUUAGGUGAAAAAUUCCUCCUCGUCGUUCCCCGUGAAAGAAAAAACCUAACUAACCAUCCUCAGCACCUUCACUAUGAGUCAGACCCACACGAUGCUGACCCAUCACUGGUUCGUCUGUCUGUCUGAAUGUCUGCCCUGCUGCACCAUCACUUAAUUCACAGUUAAUACCUUAAUUAUUUAAGAGGAUCGAUUGUUCUGGGUUUCCCCGCAUAACACUAUCAUUGUUGCUUAGCAUAGGAAAGUGUAAGGUGUGUCACAUUCUUUCCACAGUGGCCUUAUACACGUACCUACUCUACAUUAUUAUUGCCUGUUUUUUGUCUUGUUAUGUCUGAUUUGACUAAAAUGACAGCGUGGUGUUGUGGUGGUGCUGAGUUGGUGUGGGCAGCACCACUUGUUAACAAACAAGAGUAUGAGGUGCACCAUGCACAUUCCAGUGCCCUUCAACAUGUUAUUGGGUUUAUUCUACAUUUUCAUCGCUUGUUUCCGUCUAUUUCUCUUUUGUUUUGACUGACUUACUGACUGGAGUGUCAGCAUGGGUUGAUGAUGGUGGUGAAUUGGAGCAGGCAGUGCCACUUGAAAAUAACAAAAGUUUAUGUGUGCAUUCCACACCGCCGCCGCCCGCCGGGAGGUAAACAUCACAUCCCAGCUGCUCAUCGGUCGUCUGCUCAAAAGGACCAGGAGACCCGAUUUCUUUGCCUAUGUUGUAGGUGCAAGGUCUGGGGGGAAUAGGAGGAUAGGUCCUGUCUCCCAAGGGAAAUAUGGAAAUAAAAAGGACUAAGAAAAGCAUCCAGGAGGGAUAGAGUGCCAAACCAGAGUCCAGAAAAUGGCAGACAUCCCAAACAAAGCCCCGCCGGAUUUCACCAAAGAGGCUGAGGUUUAUGAGGAUUAUGGCUUUCAGGGAUUUACUCCUGGAGGAUGUGAGGUACCAAGAACAUGGAGGAGACUCAGUAUACUGGAGGAAGAUGCGGAGUUGACAAAAAGUGAGGUGAAAGCCAUGAGAGAUGAGAUCACAAAGCUGACUGAAGUUAUCGGAGAGUUAAGGAAAGAUAUAGAAAGAAAAUCUGAGGUAAGUGACAUGAGAAAAAUGUGAAGUGAUGAAAACAUCUCAUUAUAGUGAACAAGAUAAAGACGAAAGGAUGAAAGUCAUUGUGAAAGAGGAAAUAACAAAAAGAAUGGAGGACAUAGAGGAAUGGAUUUAACCCCUUCAACACAAGAACGUGUAUACUGCGUCCUUGCGUGCCCUGAACCAUAUCCGAGGAUACACAUACUGCGUCCUGGCUCGCUUUAGCCAAUAUAUGAGUUAUUUUAUGUAUAUUUAUGCUUACAUCUCAAAAUUUUCAAUUAAAUUAUGUUUCUUUAUGUGCACCAUUUAAUUCUGCAUGUUUUCAUAUAUAAUACAUGAUGAUUAUGUUGAGUUUAUGGCUGAAAACUUGUUAUAUUCAAUAGUGACAUUUGAAAUUUGGCGCGCGUGGUGAUCCCGGAUACAGUGUGUGGUGUUGUUUUGGCCCGGCCGUAGUGAAGGGGUUAAAAUGUGAUCAAUGUAGAACUAAAGAAUUGGAGGAAAAAGAAAAUAUUGCUGUAAAAUGCAGAGAAAGUGACAUAGAAGAGAAAAUGAAGGAAGUAGUAAAUCAAGAGCUAUCUAAAAGAAUGAAGGGAGUGGAAGAAGGAAUAAAAACGACAAAUGUGGAAAUGAAUAAUUUAAUAGACACAAAUGAUAAGGAAAAAAGUGAUUCUAAGGAAAUAAUGCAACAACAAGUGCAGGAAAGAAAGGCUGAAAGAGAAAAAGUUGUUCAAGUAAUAAAAUAGAAAAUCUAGUAAGAGAAGUGGUUGAAAAGAAGUUUAAUAAUAAUGGGAGUGAAAGAGGAAAAGGUUCCAGCAAGAAUGCAAAGAAAAGGGAGAGAAAUAAAGAAAAUUAAGGAUACACUAGAAAGUCUAUAUAAUGAGUCAGGGCGACUGGUGGAGGAUGUGGAGGAUGUGAUGAGACUGGGGAAGUGUGAGAAAGGAAAAGACAGGCCUAUGAAAAUAACAUUUAAGGCAGUAUCAGUAGUAGAAAAGAUAAUAAGUAUGAGCUGGAAACUUAAAGAAAAAAGAUCAAUACAAGCAGACGUAUAUAAGAAGAAACAUGAAUUUAGAGGAGAGGCAGACUAUAAAAAGAACUAUAGUAUUUCCAUUUGAAACUGGCCGGUGAUGUGUUGGCCGCUGCAGGGUCAGCCCCGCCCCGCCCCGCACCUUGCCACACACCCUCAACACCUCUCACUUCCUCUCAUGUGUCAGCUAUUUACUAUCUUUAAAUGAAUUUGACUAAUUAAUUGGAUAAUCAGAUAAGGUCAUAUAGUGUUAACAUAGUUUCAUUUUUAGGAUAAUAACAAAGAUUUUGCAUAAACGCCAUGACACUUGACAACGUUGGAUUACAAUAUUGUCAAGUGUCGUAUUUAUACAAAAUCUUUGUUAUUAUCCUAGAAAUGAAACAAUCAUAACACUACAGAACCUAAUUGGAUUAUCCAGUCAUUUAAUUAAAUUCAUUUAAAGGUAGUAUAAAUAGCUGACACAUGAGAGGAAGCAAGACGUGUUGAGGGUGCGUGGCAAGGUGCGGGGCGGGGCUGACCCCGUAGCAGCCAACACCCCACCAGCCAGUCUCAAAUGGAAGUACUAUAGUAAGUGAUGCAAAGGAAAAAAAUGAGGAAAGAAGUGAAAGAGAUAGAAAAAAGUUUCUUUGCAGAGGGUGGAAUGGGAGAAUGGUGAAGUGCUGGAUAAGGAAGAAAGAAUAGACCAAAGAGAACAUGAAAUGGGGAAAAAUAAUGGAAGAACAGACAAUGUAAAAAUAUCGUAUACAAAUAUAGAUGGUUUACUGUCAAAAAAAAUUAGAAUUGAGAAAUUGUCUGAGGAAUGAAAAACCGGACAUAAUGGGAAUAACUGAAACAAAAUUAACGAAAGACAAAGAAAUAAUACAAAUAGAUGAAUGUAACUAUAGAAUAGGCUAUAUAGGAAAGAAAGAAUAAGAGGAAGAGGAGUAAUGAUUAUGGUAAGAAAGGAAUUAAGUCCUAUUACAGUGAAGGAAGGUUUGGAAAAUACUGAAAUUUUAAGCAUACAGAUCAGCUUAAGUAAUAAUGUAAAACUGAAAAUAAUAGUAACAUAUGUUCCUCCAUACACAACAUC